This 253-nucleotide ribosomal RNA is filed under the name uncultured bacterium. RNAcentral describes it as "partial 16S ribosomal RNA". It matches the Rfam family "Bacterial small subunit ribosomal RNA", at positions 524 to 776 of the family's 1533-position model. The record is from RNAcentral.
UACGGGGGGGGCAAGCGUUGUUCGGAAUUACUGGGCGUAAAGGGCUCGUAGGCGGCCAACUAAGUCCGACGUGAAAUCCCCAGGCUUAACCUGGGAACUGCGUCGGAUACUGGAUGGCUUGAAUUCGGGAGAGGGAUGCAGAAUUCCAGGUGUAGCGGUGAAAUGCGUAGAUAUCUGGAGGAAUACCGGUGGCGAAGGCGGCUCACUGGAUCGGUACUGACGCUGAGGUGCGAAAGCGUGGGGAGCAAACAGG